CCAAAUGUACCAAAUCCAAUAAUGUUGUCGAUAUGAUGCUAAUGUGAAAAGUACAACCAUAUAUCUUUAUUUGGGUCCGUUCCAAUUGUUUUUAUGUUGUUCUUUCUUUAGUCUCUUGGGGUUAUGAGAUAGAAAGGGGAAUAGGAUUUUUUUCCUUUCAGUGACUUGGACAAAACAAGUUUUAUCAUAAACUGGAAACAAGGGGAUAGUAUUGAGAGAGAAUAGAAAGGAAUCCUGUUUUCUUCGUGACAUAAAAAGAAAAAAUGGGAAACUCCACUUUUGAGAGAAAAACAAGAAUUGAGAGAAAAUCUUUGAGCAUGGAGAUUGAGGGUUUGAGAAAAAAAAGAAUGUGAAAAACAUGGGUUCUUUGUUGUUCAUCUUGAACAUUAAAUGGGAAAGAAUCAAAAGGUUCUCUAUUAGUAACAGGAUUUGGUUUCAUCAACAAAAAACAAAAUAACAGGAUUUGGAUUUUUAAUUGAUAGUGAAGCUACUCUCUCCCGAGGAAGUUGGUCACAUUGACUGUACCGCAUAAACAUCUGUGUUUAUUUCCCUCUCUCAAUCUUGCAUUCAAUUUUAGUGUUUAUUCUUGCUGCUGCAAUUUGAUUUCUGUGAUACUGUUAUUUCCUGCUGCUACUGUUCUGUUCUGCGUUUCACUAUUGUGUUUUCUUGUGUUAAGUUUUUCUGUCAACUGCGCCACUGCUGCUUCGUAAUUUUCUGGUUGUGUGUUUCUGCAUAAUCUGCCAUUGCAGCACAUAUUUUCUGCCUCUGGAUUAGUUUCUGGUUUAAUGCAAUUACUGCAUAAUUUGAUUUCUAUUUUGCAUGUUUCUU
Molecule: long non-coding RNA, 828 nt
Filed under: Cicer arietinum (chickpea)
Lineage: Eukaryota; Viridiplantae; Streptophyta; Magnoliopsida; Fabales; Fabaceae
Description: long non-coding RNA (CARI_LNC000856)
Source: RNAcentral